Long non-coding RNA from Heteronotia binoei (common prickly gecko), 208 nucleotides. RefSeq lists it as uncharacterized. The transcript has 2 exons. The record is from RefSeq and is a predicted model, not a curated record. Lineage: Eukaryota; Metazoa; Chordata; Lepidosauria; Squamata; Gekkonidae.
CCCUUCCCCUCCCCACAACAGACACCCUGUGAGGUAGGCGGGGCUGAUAAGAGUUCUAUCGCAAUCUGCUCUUGAGAGAGCAGCUCUGAGAGAACUUGCGACUGACCCAAGGUCACAUCAGCAGGUGCAAGUGGAGGAGUGGGGAAUCAAACUCGGUUCUCCCAGAUAAGAGUCCGCACAUGUAACCACUGCACCAAACUAGCUCUCA